CAGUCGCCACGGUAAUACGGAGGGCGCGAGCGUUACCCGGAUUUACUGGGCGUAAAGGGCGUGUAGGCGGCCUGGGGCGUCCCAUGUGAAAGGCCACGGCUCAACCGUGGAGGAGCGUGGGAUACGCUCAGGCUAGAGGGUGGGAGAGGGUGGUGGAAUUCCCGGAGUAGCGGUGAAAUGCGCAGAUACCGGGAGGAACGCCGAUGGCGAAGGCAGCCACCUGGUCCACUUCUGACGCUGAGGCGCGAAAGCGUGGGGAGCAAACCGGAUUAGAUACCCCAGUAGUCCCUGUCUCUUAUAA
This 301-nucleotide ribosomal RNA is filed under the name uncultured bacterium. Its description in RNAcentral is "partial 16S ribosomal RNA". It matches the Rfam family "Bacterial small subunit ribosomal RNA", at positions 509 to 809 of the family's 1533-position model. The record is from RNAcentral.